GACGAACGCUGGCGGCGUGCUUAACACAUGCAAGUCGAGCGGUAAGGCCCUUUCGGGGGUACGACGAGCGGCGAACGGGUGAGUAACACGUGGGUGACCUGCCCUUAGCUCUGGGAUAAGCCUGGGAAACUGGGUCUAAUACCGGAUAUGACUCCAUGACGCAUGUUGUGGGGUGGAAAGCCUUGUGCGGCUAGGGAUGGGCCCGCGGCCUAUCAGCUUGUUGGUGGGGUGAUGGCCACCAAGGCGACGACGGGUAGCCGGCCUGAGAGGGCGACCGGCCACACUGGGACUGAGACACGGCCCAGACUCCUACGGGAGGCAGCAGUGGGAAUCUUGCGCAAUGGGCGAAAGCCUGACGCAGCGACGCCGCGUGAGGGAUGACGGCC
This 386-nucleotide ribosomal RNA is filed under the name uncultured bacterium. RNAcentral's name for it is "bacterial SSU rRNA". It matches the Rfam family "Bacterial small subunit ribosomal RNA", at positions 28 to 416 of the family's 1533-position model. The record is from RNAcentral.